GUGGGGAAUAUUUCGCAAUGGGCGAAAGCCUGACGAAGCAACGCCGCGUGGAGGAUGAAGGCCCUAGCGGUCGUAAACUCCUGUCUAGUGGGACGAACGAUUCACGGGCAAACAGCCUGUGGAAGUGACGGUACCGCUGGAGGAAGCUCCGGCCAACUCCGUGCCAGCAGCCGCGGUAAUACGGAGGGAGCAAGCGUUACUCGGAAUUACUGGGCGUAAAGGGCGCGUAGGCGUUCGUGAAAGUCCUGUGUGAAAUCCCGGGGCCCAACUCCGGAAGGGCACAGGAAACUUCACGGAUUGAGUGCAGGAGAGGAAGGCAGAAUUCCCGGUGUAGCGGUGAAAUGCGUAGAUAUCGGGAGGAAUACCAGUGGCGAAGGCGGCCUUCUGGACUGCUACUGACGUUGAUGCGCGAAAGCCAGGGGAGCAAACGGGAUUAGAAACCCUAGUAGUCC
RNAcentral lists this ribosomal RNA (452 nucleotides) under uncultured bacterium. Its description in RNAcentral is "bacterial SSU rRNA". It matches the Rfam family "Bacterial small subunit ribosomal RNA", at positions 354 to 796 of the family's 1533-position model. The record is from RNAcentral.